Molecule: transfer RNA, 65 nt
Filed under: Naja kaouthia (monocled cobra)
Lineage: Eukaryota; Metazoa; Chordata; Lepidosauria; Squamata; Elapidae
Also listed under: 2 other names
Description: tRNA-His
Source: RNAcentral
GUGUGCGUAAUUUAAAAAAAAUGCCAAGCUGUGACCUUGACAAUAGGAAGCACUCCUCACACACC